RNAcentral lists this ribosomal RNA (621 nucleotides) under uncultured bacterium. RNAcentral's name for it is "bacterial SSU rRNA". It matches the Rfam family "Bacterial small subunit ribosomal RNA", at positions 100 to 734 of the family's 1533-position model. The record is from RNAcentral.
GGACGGGUGAGUAACGUGUGGGUAACCUGCCUUUUACUGUGGAAUAAUCGUUGGAAACGACGACUAAUACCGCAUACGAUUUUCUGAAGGCAUCUUCGGAAAAAGAAAGGAAAUAUUCGGUAAAAGAUGGGCCCGCAUCUGAUUAGCUAGUUGGUGAGAUAACAGCCCACCAAGGCAACGAUCAGUAGCCGACCUGAGAGGGUGACCGGCCACAUUGGGACUGAGACACGGCCCAAACUCCUACGGGAGGCAGCAGUGGGGAAUAUUGCACAAUGGGCGAAAGCCUGAUGCAGCAACGCCGCGUGAAGGUAGACGGUUUUCGGAUUGUAAACUUCUAUCAAUAGGGAAGAAAGAAAUGACGGUACCUAAAUAAGAAGCCCCGGCUAACUACGUGCCAGCAGCCGCGGUAAUACGUAGGGGGCAAGCGUUAUCCGGAAUUACUGGGUGUAAAGGGAGAGUAGGCGGCAAGGUAAGCGAUAUGUGAAAGCCUUAAGCUUAACUUAAGGAUUGCAUAACGAACUAUCUAGCUAGAGUACAGGAGAGGAAAGCGGAAUUCCUAGUGUAGCGGUGAAAUGCGUAGAUAUUAAGAAGAACACCAGUGGCGAAGGCGGCUUUCUGGGA